This 302-nucleotide unclassified non-coding RNA is filed under the name Hevea brasiliensis (rubber tree). The record is from RNAcentral. Lineage: Eukaryota; Viridiplantae; Streptophyta; Magnoliopsida; Malpighiales; Euphorbiaceae.
ACCACAUAUGCAGAAUUCCCACCAUCAUUUCUCUCCUGAUCGGACCCCAAACCCUCAGCAGGCACAGCAGAGACUGCCUGCAGCUGCCCGUACGACACAUUCUCCAAAUUGGGCACCGGCCCCCUACUACUACCACUACUCUCCCCAAUCAAAUUCGCCCUCUCUAAGGUCACCACAGCGAAAACCGACUCAUGGGGCCGAUUCACAGCAAGCUUAGUGACGGAAGGGAAGUCACAAAUGCGGACCCCACUGUCAGCGAAGACCUCAGUUUCAAGAUGGUUGGGAUCAGGAAGAGCAGCAGA